RNAcentral lists this ribosomal RNA (227 nucleotides) under uncultured bacterium. Its description in RNAcentral is "partial 16S ribosomal RNA". It matches the Rfam family "Bacterial small subunit ribosomal RNA", at positions 524 to 749 of the family's 1533-position model. The record is from RNAcentral.
UACGUAGGGACCGAGCGUUGUCCGGAUUCAUUGGGCGUAAAGAGCUCGUAGGCGGCGGUUCAAGUCGAACGUGAAAACUCGGGGCUCAACUCCGAGCCUGCACUCGAUACUGGAUGACUUGAGGACCGGAGAGGAUAGUGGAAUUCCCAGUGUAGUGGUGAUAUGCGUAGAUAUCGGGAGGAACACCUGUGGCGGAAGGCGGCUUUCUGGGCCCUACCUGACGCUGA